UGUAAGCCAGGUCGGUUUCUAUCUUUAUUAAGUUAAAAUAUUUUAGUACGAAAGGACCAAAUAUUUAAUAUAAUAUAUAUUUUGAAUUUUUGAAUAUUAUU
This 101-nucleotide ribosomal RNA is filed under the name Percus strictus oberleitneri. Its description in RNAcentral is "partial 16S ribosomal RNA". Lineage: Eukaryota; Metazoa; Arthropoda; Insecta; Coleoptera; Carabidae. The record is from RNAcentral.